AUCAUUUCCUUCCCUCUCCCAUUUCUUCUUCAUUCCUUUUCUUUAUCGUUGCUAGGUUUCUUCCAUCUCCCACCUCUUCUUUUCUUCCCUCUCCACAGCGCAGCCAGGUUUUUCCCUCUCCGUAGCAAGCAAGUAGUGGCUCAAAGGUAACCCUAUUUCUCACUUCUUCCUUUUCCGCAACACCGCGCACAACCUCGCCAGGCGACGAGCAACCAUUUUACAAGCGAUCACACUCGAGAGGGCUGCAACCUCGCCAGGCCGCUGGUUCACUAGCGGCAUAUUCGCGAAUGGCUACACGCGAAGGGGUCGAUGCCUCACUAGGUAACCCAUUCACAAAUAGGCACAUACGAGGGGGACGAUGCCGGGCAGUGACCUAUAGCGAGGUAGCGACAUUGCUAUCUUCUUCUGAAACUCUCACCCUUUUCCAUCUCCAUAUACUAGUAGGAAGCUUGCCCUUUUCCUCACGCAGCACCGAGUCGAAUUGAUCGGUAUUUCCUUUCCCGACAUUCAUCUUCUCACAGGUUUGUGUCUUAAUCCUCGAUUGCCCCUCCCCGCUUUUCAAUUCUUCCCCUCAUGGCACGGUCUCGUAGCGCUCUUGCUGGAGCACGUCCGAAGGAUAUGUUGCGAGCACUGUAUUCUUCUCUUUUUCUAACUAUUUUCCUUGUUUGUUAGUUGGCACAUGUUCCCCUCCCCUUUUCAAUUUCUCCUCUCACGGCAUAGUUGUGAUGGCGGGUGUUGGUCUUGAUGCUUGUUGUCAUUGCGCUCAUGUUGGUGCACAGUUGAAGGAUCAAUUUUCUUCUUUAGACGUGUUCUUCAAAGAUCUGAAAUCCUUGAAGAAGGUAUGAUGCUCAAUUUUGUUUUGUUUUUUCUAUCUCCUUGGCUUUAGAAAUGUUUGAGUAAUUAAAUUGUGCUAUAGAAGACAUGAAUGGAAGAAUGAGAAUGAAAUAAAUCAGUCUGCAUGCAAUACCAGUAGAUUUACCACCAAUAAGCACAUCUCCCAUAUUAAACUAUCAAUUCAAUUUUAUAUAAAGGAGUGUGAAGAGGCAUUGGUUUUGGAUCCUGCUUUCAGGCAUGCACAGCAAAGGUUGGCAUCGUUGCUUAUAAGGUAAUGGCUUCAAAAUGUGAAGCGUAACUUUAACUUCAUCAACUUGAAGAAGCUGAUAUGGUCAUAUCCAAUGUAUUUAAACUUGAUAGUGUAAAUUCACCAUCCUCAAAUACUAAGUUUUUUGGUAUGCUGGCAAAUUCAUACUUGUAUGCUGUCAAUGUCGAAGUUGACAUGGCUCGAGGAAGGUUUGAAAAUGUCUUCACAAUAAGCAAAGCAGAUUUAUCCUAGAAAUGUGGAGAUAUAUACAUUAUUGAACAACACAAGAGCUAUAUCUCGAGCACGAGCAUUAGGCAAUGAACUCUUUAACUCAAGAAAAUUUAUGGAAGCAAGCUUAGCUUACGGGAAGGACUCAAGUAUGACCCUGCAAACCUUGUUCUUUACUGCAACUUGGAUAAUACGAAAAGACUGUUGAGGAUUGCAACAAAGCUUAGUAUUCAAGUCAACUACAUGAAUGCCCUUCUUAGUUGUGCUACCUCAUAUUCAGAGGUGAUAUGAUUCCCUUCUAAAAUUUAAUAUUUUGAGUAUAGUGUAUAACUAGUUUUGGAUGUAAAAGACUCAUCAUUAGUUUGCAUUUGUAAUUUUGACCCAAAUAUUUAUAGGAUGAAUUUAGAUGAUCUACUUGCAUUUUAAA
This is an RNA transcript of Zingiber officinale, 1736 nucleotides long. It is a transcript of the gene named inactive TPR repeat-containing thioredoxin TTL3-like, with no coding region annotated. Lineage: Eukaryota; Viridiplantae; Streptophyta; Magnoliopsida; Zingiberales; Zingiberaceae. The transcript is spliced from 3 exons. The record is from RefSeq and is a predicted model, not a curated record.